Long non-coding RNA from Cyprinus carpio (common carp), 1359 nucleotides. RefSeq lists it as uncharacterized. The record is from RefSeq and is a predicted model, not a curated record. The transcript is spliced from 3 exons. Lineage: Eukaryota; Metazoa; Chordata; Actinopteri; Cypriniformes; Cyprinidae.
CAGCUUUUCCGCCAACAAAUUCCGCCAUGUUAAUAGCGAUCCGCCAUGGAGCGAGCACAUCUCACUCUUAAAGGGAAUGGGAGAUGACACUCUGAUUGGUUUAUUGAACGUUACGCCCAUUAUCUUAUCACGAAGCAGCAUCGACAAUUCCCACGCUUUUUCCAAAGUAUGUCGCACUGAUUUCAGUAUCGGACACGGUGGGAAAAACGACACAAUAAAUAAAAAGCACAAUAAAUCCCAACGGCACAAUCGCGCAGUGGAGGCACAAAGGGGCACAUCCGCGAUUUCAAACUUUAUCACUAAGGGACGGAUGGAGGCAGAAACUGUAUUACAGAGUGAACUAAAAUGGCAAUGUUGAUUGCAAAAAAAAAAACACAUUCCAUUUGCUUUUUGCGAUGAAUUCAAUGCUAGUGUGGCAGGCAUGUUCCUGGAUUCUGCCAUAGCUAGAAAAUACUCCUCUGGAAAGACUAAAACAACUCAGCUUCUUAAAGGUGCCAUUGCCCCAGAGCUUGCUGAUGAGGUCAAAAAAAUCUGCCAGACCCAGCCAUUUGGAUUACUUUGUGAUGAGACAAACAACAUGCAGACAGAAAAAUAACUAUUUAUACUGGCAAGAGUGUAUGAUGAGAACAGUCUUGAGGUUGUGACCAAAUUUAUUGACAUGCCAGUCUGCAAUGUGGGUACAGCAGAAAAUAUUUAUGAGAAGCCGGAAACCUCUUUGAGAAAUGGAGGAAUCCCAUGGGAUAACCUGGUGGCCUUCAACUCUGACAACUGCAGCGUGAUGAAAGGAAAGCACCAUUCAGUCAUCACCAAACUAAGAGCUAGUAAACCUUAUGUUCAGGAUGUGGGUUGAAUAUGCCACCUUGCUCAACUUGUCACAGGCUGUGGCAUUAAGGCCAUCAAGGCCCCAGUGGAGGAUUUAUUGGGUGCUGUGUAUAGCCACUUCCACAAAAGGUCAUUAUAAAAGAAGAAAAUUUUGUCAGUCUGUUCUUGGUAAAUUUAGGGUAUAGACAGAUAUAGACAGGUGGACAGAUUCUGGGGCCUUGUAGGUAAAAGUGAGACUGAGACCAGGUUUAGUCAGUUGGCUAGUCUGAUUAAGGCACUACUUUGCAUUCCUCAUAGUAAUGCCUCCUCAGAGAGAACCUUUAGCAUGGUCCGAAAGAUUGUGACAGAAAAUCAACUGCACAAAACCUGCACACAAGUACACUCCCUCCAGACGGGUACUUAGCAAAGUCUGCUACUUACAAUUAUAAUUCUGGAUGUAAGAAACACUAGUAACACCUUCAUGUUAAAUACAUGAAGUACUGUAUUUAUCAUGAAGGUGUUUCCAUUUACUUCAAGUACAUGACAUUUUUUGUUAAA